Molecule: ribosomal RNA, 423 nt
Filed under: uncultured bacterium
Lineage: Bacteria
Description: bacterial SSU rRNA
Rfam family: Bacterial small subunit ribosomal RNA
Source: RNAcentral
UAGGGAAUAUUGGGCAAUGGACGCAAGUCUGACCCAGCCAUGCCGCGUGCAGGAUGAAGGCCUUCUGGGUUGUAAACUGCUUUUAUCUAGGAAGAAAACGCCCAUGCGUGGGAAACUGACGGUACUAGAUGAAUAAGCACCGGCUAACUCCGUGCCAGCAGCCGCGGUAAUACGGAGGGUGCAAGCGUUGUCCGGAUUUAUUGGGUUUAAAGGGUGCGUAGGCGGCCCGGUAAGUCAGUGGUGAAAGCCUCCAGCUCAACUGGAGAACUGCCAUUGAUACUGCCGGGCUUGAGUACAGACGAGGUUGGCGGAAUUGAUUGUGUAGCGGUGAAAUGCAUAGAUACAAUCAAGAACUCCGAUUGCGUAGGCAGCUAACUAGGCUGUAACUGACGCUGAGGCACGAAAGCGUGGGGAGCGAACAGG